This 163-nucleotide non-coding RNA is filed under the name unclassified sequences. The record is from Rfam.
UGAAAGCUGAUUGUGCAGUUUCUUAUACUUUCCAUUCGUAAUCAGUAACGAUUUGACACGGAUGUCAAAUCGAGCGAAUACGCAACACGAUGUUGCGCAUGAGCGGUUACGUCCAUAUAGAAAAACUAUGAGGAAAGUAUUAGAAAAUGCCAAUUAGUUUUCU